Long non-coding RNA from Girardinichthys multiradiatus, 3030 nucleotides. RefSeq lists it as uncharacterized. The transcript is spliced from 7 exons. The record is from RefSeq and is a predicted model, not a curated record. NCBI's taxonomy places the organism in Eukaryota, Metazoa, Chordata, Actinopteri, Cyprinodontiformes, Goodeidae.
AGAUUUGAUGGGAUGGACCAACACAAAGUAAAGCAUAGUUGUGAAGUUUAAGAGAAUGAAGUAUCUUGAUUAGUGAAUAGACAUGCCCCGUGUGGAGAUUAAUUUCUUCAUAAAUCCAGCUGUUCUGUAAAGGCCUCAGAGAUUUGUUGGAAAACAUUACUGAGCAAACAAGGUCAUAAAGACCAAGGAACACACCAGAAAGGUCAGGGAUAAAGUUGUGGAGAACUGUCUGGAAGAGAGCCAUUGUUGAAAGAAAGAGAAUCCCUGUUGGCAGUUUGCAACAAGCCAUAGAGUACACAGCAAGCUUUCCAACACGCUUGUGCCUAAAGGGAAUCUGGAUAAAGAUUCACAAUACUACAAUCCAGAUACUACAGGAGCGGUGCUCAUGCAACCUAUCUUGUUAAGCGAAAACUGUUUAGUGCACGAAAAAGAAGCAGAUCAACAGAAGAACCAGCAGAGAUGGCUGCAUUGGCUGUGGAGUUCAGAAAACCAAGUGGGCCAAACCAGCAGAUGACAUGGCUUCUAAUCAUCACUGCCUGUGGAAACUUCACACUGGACUUCAAGCAACGUGGAUUCUGGUCCUCCAGACUCUGAGACCUUGAUUUCUGAAUGAAAUGCAAACUUUACUUUCAUCUGAAAAGAGGACUUCAGACCACUGAGCAACAGCCCAGAUCUUUUUCUCCUUAGCCCAGGUAAGACCCUUGGAGUCCAUGUGUAGGAUUCAUCGGUGCAGAGUUGUUCUUGAUGCACCGGCUCCAGCCUCUGUCCACUCCUUGUAAUGCACCCUAAAUUCUUAUAUGGAUUUUGCUUGUGGUUAGCCUUUGUCCUACCUCACUUUUUCUUUCCAUUCAACUUUCUAUGAAUAUGCUAACAAAAGUUUACAUGCACGCCGUUCAGAUUGACAAUCGGCAUUAGGGCUGGACGAUAUAUCACAAAAAUAUCAUCGCGAUAAUGGCACGUGCAAUAUGUCUUAUCGCAAAUACAUGCGAUAAAUUCAUAAUUUUCUUGCACAUGUUUCGUGUUUAUCUGUGGUUGACCAAUCAGAUGCGCUCCUAAAUGCUCCCAGUAUUCCACCCCCAUACAUAUUCAUAUUGGCUAGGGCGGACCCAUAGGCUUACAAAGCACCUUGGCUGCAGCAUAGAGGGAAAGCAAUGGCGGACACGGGAGAAGAGGAUCCAAAUGUGGAUGAAAACAAUGUAUAACUUGUGCCGAUAAAAGAUUAGUACGUUUGAAAUAUGGGACUACUUUAGCUUUAGAAGAGAAGACGUAGCACAGACCCAGGUACUGUGCAAGUCAUGUCAAAAAAUAGUGGCUACGUCGAGAGGAAACAUGACUAAUCUACACAGUCACAUGGAGCACAACCACAAGACGCUAUAUGAAGUAUUCAAGUCUAAUACUCUCAAAACUGCCAAGGUGAAGGCAAGUUGUAAAAAGGCAAAUCCACAGGCAACUAUUAAUGACAGUUUUGCGAGUGUAACUCCUUACGAAGAAACUUAAACGCGCCACAAACCUAAUACCGCAGCUGUUGCACGUUAUGUGGCCAAAUGCACGAUACCACUUAGUACCAUGGGAAAACAUGCGUUAAAGUGCUAUCGCAAACUUACUUUUCCCAAGUUAUCAUUCCAUAGAUGUAUGAGGCAUGCGUAGCAACAGUACAGAAUGAACUGAGUCAAGUGGAUUUUUACAAUAGCACCACAUACCCUCUGGUCCAGUCGCACAACUGAACCCUAUAUGAGCUUUACUGUUUUCUCAACUAAGACCUCAAAUUAACAACACUGUGUCUAGAAGUUGCAUGCUUCCCCAAAUCCCACACGGAAAAAUAUAGCCAGCGUUCUAAGGGACGUUUUGGCAAAAUGGGGCUUGGAAGAAGAUAAACAAGUGGUUAUUACAGCAGACAACGGCACCAACAUAGUAAAAGCUACAGAAGUGGGUCAGACUACAGUGCUUUGGUCACCGCCUGCAUCUGGCUAUCAGUGAGUAUUUUUUAUACUGCAUUUUUUUAAAUUAAAGAUGCCUAAUUUUAACAUAAGAUUUGUAUAUUAGAAUAUAUUACAUCACAUUAUAUUUAAUUAAAUUCAAAAAUACUUUAUUAAUCCCAAAGGGAAAGUAUAUUAUAUUGCCUACAGCUAUUAACAUGCACAACAACUCGGUGAAAAACAUUUAAUUUCCCUUUGGUAUAAAUGAAGUAUUUUUAAAUUGAAUUGAAUUAGUUUAAAUGUAUUCGACCGUCACUGUGACGAGCACAUUUCGCGAGCUGUGGGACUUUGCAAGAAUUUAGUGGGGCAUUUUCCACACAGCUAGAAGGAGAAAACUGCACUAAAAAAGGCCCAGCAUGCACUCAUCACAGAAUGUCAGACUAGAUGGGGAUCCAGACAAAGUAUGAUUCAAAGAGUUCUUGAGCAGCAGAAGGCCAUAUGUGAUGUUUUAUCAACAGACUGAAGGUCAAGGCAUUUAGUCCCCACUUGGCAAGACCUAGAUGUCCUGGAGUCAAUUAACCAAACACUUCAGUCUCUGCAGAAGUUCACAGAUGCCCUUUCUGCUGAAAAAAUUGUGACGGUUUCAUAUGUGAAACUGGUACUUCACUUGAUGAAUGCUUCCCUUCUUGCUUCAAAGGACGAAGACAGUGACUUAAAAAAGUCCAUAAAGAAAAAUAUCCUAGAGUACAUGAACACAAAACGACCCAAUGACUCAAGAACUCCUGGACAUGACCUGCCUUGUGGACCCCAGAUUUAAAGUUGGCUACGUCAGUAGUGACAAGGUGCAAAAUCCUAGGAGGCAAGAUAACAGCAUGGAACCCCAGGAGCCACUCAAAAGAAGGCCAGAAAAAUCUUUAGCCAGUUUCUUCAAAACCUCUCCGGCAUCACAGUCUGUAGAGGCCGAGCCCAACACCUACCUGGUGUCUCCCACCAUAGACGCUGAGGAGAACCCUCUCUCGUGGUGGCAGCUCCAUCAACUCAACUUUCCACACUUGAACAAACUCGCCAGAAAAUACCUCUUCAUACCCGCAAGUAGCUCACCCAUAGAAAGACU